RNAcentral lists this long non-coding RNA (780 nucleotides) under Capsicum annuum. Its description in RNAcentral is "long non-coding RNA (CANN_LNC012118)". The record is from RNAcentral. Lineage: Eukaryota; Viridiplantae; Streptophyta; Magnoliopsida; Solanales; Solanaceae.
UGCAUGUAAGUUUUACCCAAUAAAUAAACCCAAAAUACUACUUUAUCCGUUUUAUAUUACUCGGUCAUUUUCUUUUUUACAGGUCCAAAAUUCCAAAUAAUUAUGUUAAAGUUUAAUUUAGAGAAAAGACAUAUUUUUCCCACUGAACUUGUCCUCCCAACUCACUUUAGCACUUAAACUUAACUUUCGUUUAUUUACCCCCUUAACGUCUUUAAAGUGUAUUUAUUUGACCCCUAAAGUUGACGUGAUAUUUUUUUUAAAAAAAACGGGGGCAUUUAUUUAUUGAAAAAAUUAAUUUCAGUAAUAUUAUAUUUAAAAUAUAAUUAAAAAAUAAAAUUAAAAAUAAAAUAAAAAAUGGACUUUUUUUCUUCUUUCUUCUUCAAAUCAUCAUCAACAACACUCAAACCUCCAUUAACAACCUCAAUUUUUUUUCACUUUACUCCAUUAACAACAACACCCAAGAACAACAAUUUCCUUUAAUUUUUUUUCACUUUACUCCAUUAACGCCACCACCCAAGAACACCACUUUCCUUUAAUCUUUUUUCACUUUCCUCCGUUAACACCACCACCCAAGAACAACACUUUCCUUUAAUUUUUUUCACUUUCCUCCAUUAACAACACCACUCAAGAACAACGCUUUUCUUUAUUUCCUUCAUUAACACCACCACUUAAGAACAAUACUUUUCUUUAUUUAUUUAUUUUUCACUUUCUUCCAUUAACACCACCACCUAAAACAACACUUUCCUUUAAUUAAAAGGGAGAAAGAAUAGCAGGUGAGGC